Molecule: ribosomal RNA, 460 nt
Filed under: uncultured bacterium
Lineage: Bacteria
Description: partial 16S ribosomal RNA
Rfam family: Bacterial small subunit ribosomal RNA
Source: RNAcentral
CCUACGGGGGGCAGCAGUGAGGAAUAUUGGUCAAUGGGCGGGAGCCUGAACCAGCCAAGUCGCGUGAGGGAAGACGGUCCUAUGGAUUGUAAACCUCUUUAGGCGGGGAGCAAUGCCGUGCACGCGUGCCCGGAGGGAGAGUACCCGCAGAAUAAGCAUCGGCUAACGCCGUGCCAGCAGCCGCGGUAAUACGGGGGAUGCGAGCGUUAUCCGGAUUUAUGGGGUUUAAGGGGUGCGUAGGCGGAAUUUUAAGUCAGCGGUAAAAUGUCCGGGCUCAACCCGGGCCGGCCGUUGAAACUGGGGAUCUUGAGUGGGAGAGAAGUAUGCGGAAUGCGUGGUGUAGCGGUGAAAUGCAUAGAUAUCACGCAGAACUCCGAUUGCGAAGGCAGCAUACCGGCGCCCGACUGACGCUGAGGCACGAAAGCGUGGGGAUCGAACAGGAUUAGAUACCCUAGUAGUC